GAGAAUCUUCGGCAAUGGGCGCAAGCCUGACCGAGCGACGCCGCGUGGAGGACGAAGGCCUUCGGGUUGUAAACUCCUGUCGAGGGGGAACAAGGUGCCGUGAAGAGCGGCGCUUGAGUGAUCCCUGGAGGAAGCACGGGCUAAGUUCGUGCCAGCAGCCGCGGUAAGACGAACCGUGCGAACGUUAUUCGGAAUCACUGGGCUUAAAGCGCGUGUAGGCGGCCCGGCACGUCCGUCGCUGAAAUCCCCCGGCUCAACCGGGGAAGUGGCGUGGAUACGACCGGGCUGGAGGGGGGUAGGGGGAGCCGGAACUUCCGGUGGAGCGGUGAAAUGCGUUGAGAUCGGAAGGAACGCCCGUGGCGAAAGCGGGCUCCUGGACCCCACCUGACGCUGAGACGCGAAAGCCAGGGGAGCGAA
This 417-nucleotide ribosomal RNA is filed under the name uncultured bacterium. Its description in RNAcentral is "bacterial SSU rRNA". It matches the Rfam family "Bacterial small subunit ribosomal RNA", at positions 357 to 772 of the family's 1533-position model. The record is from RNAcentral.